This is a long non-coding RNA of Amaranthus tricolor (Joseph's coat), 1598 nucleotides long. RefSeq lists it as uncharacterized. The transcript has 3 exons. The record is from RefSeq and is a predicted model, not a curated record. NCBI's taxonomy places the organism in Eukaryota, Viridiplantae, Streptophyta, Magnoliopsida, Caryophyllales, Amaranthaceae.
UCCUAAACCGACAUUCCUUUCCCCACUUCCCUUCCUUCUCAUUCCGUCACUAUUCAUCAUCAUUUUCAAACCCUUCUUUUCAUCCUCAAGACCUUCAAAACCCAUGCUCUCAUCUCGCCGUCCCUUGUCUUUGAUUUUCGAGAAAUUGGGUUCUUCUUCCUCUGAAUUUCGAAAGGCUGUGUGAAAUCAAAGUAGCAUCGAAAUCCUUUCUCCUUGUCUCUGAUUUCUGCGAGUUAGGGGAGAAGGAGUGAGCUUCAAUCUUGUGAUUAAACAUCCAAUUCAAACCGUGAAUCAAGCAUUAAGUCCGUUUUCCUCCUUGUUUCUGGUAGCUGAACAGAAGGAAGCGACAUUAUCGAAGAGCCCUUCUAAUAAGCGCGGGGGUAGCAGACUUGGCCUCUUGAAGCGUUCUUUUUGCUUGUCUACAGAUUGGAACCAGUCGGGAAUAAUGGAUUAGCGAAGGUGAAUAGAGUUUCCAAGGAUGUUAAUUGAGUUGAGUACUUAGGAAUUAUAGAUUUGUAUUAGGAAUUUUGGAUAAAUGUAAAUUUGUUUUGGCUGUGCUGGUUAUAUCGGACUUGUAGAGAAUUGUAUGAUUAUCUUGUGUUUUAGUUAGAUGUUGGUUUUGGGAUUUAGAUGAAUUAGUCACGUUGAAGAGCUUGUGAUUCCUUUGCUCGAGUUUUGGAAGUGUGAUUUCAGUUUCUUGGGAAACGAACCCAGUGAUAACCCUGUUUACCUAGUCAACGGUAAGUCGGGUUGUUACAAUAUAUUAUUGUGUUGAAGUAUUUAGAAUUGAAAAUCAUAGUAAUAUGCUAGAAAUUACGUGUUAAGUUGCGAUUUUAAGGGUUUUUAAGUGUUUUUGCCCCUUUUGCGCAUAAAGUAAAACUUGGUUUGUUUUGCAGGAAACUUGGCACAAAAUACUAUUCGGUAUAUGUUAUUUUGUUGAAUUGGUUAGAAUUCAAAAUCAUAGUCAUAUGCCAGAAAUACGUGUUAAGUUGCGAUUUUAUAGGUUUUUAUGCGCUUUUUCGCACUUUUGCGCAUAAAGUAGCUCAAACUUGGUUUGUUUUGCACGAAACUUGGCACAGAACACUAUUUGGUAUAUAUUAUUGUGUUGAAGUGGUUAGAAUUGAAAAUCAUAGUGAAAUGUUAGAAAUUACGUGUUAAGUUGCGAUUUUAAGGGUUUUUAAGCAUUUUCGAAACUUUUGUGCAUAAAGUAGCUCAAACUUGGUUUGUUUUGCACGAAACUUGGCACACAACACUAUUUGGUAUAUAUUAUUUUGUUGAAUUGUUUAGAAUUAAAAAUCAUAGUAAUAUGCCAGAGAAAUUAUGUGUUAAGUAGCGAUUUUAUAGGUUUUUAAGCGUUUUUGGCACUUUUGCGCAUAAAGUAGCUCAAACGUGGUUUGUUUUGCACGAAACUUGGCACAGAACAUUAUUUGGUUACAUAUUAUUGUGUUGAAGUGGUUAGAAUUGAAAAUCAUAGUCAUAUGCUAGAAAUUACGUGUUAAGUCGCGAUUUUAUGGGUUUUUAAGCGUUUUUUAGAACUUUUGUGCAUAAACUAGCUCAAACUUGGUUUAUUUUGCACGAAACUUGUUACACAACACUAU